This 496-nucleotide ribosomal RNA is filed under the name uncultured bacterium. RNAcentral's name for it is "partial 16S ribosomal RNA". It matches the Rfam family "Bacterial small subunit ribosomal RNA", at positions 29 to 507 of the family's 1533-position model. The record is from RNAcentral.
AUGAACGCUGGCGGCGUGCCUAAUACAUGCAAGUCGCGCGAACGGACGAGAAGCUUGCUUCUCUGAUGUUAGCGGCGGACGGGUGAGUAACACGUGGAUAACCUACCUAUAAGCCUGGGAUAACUUCGGGAAACCGGAGCUAAUACCGGAUGAUAUUUUGAACCGCAUGGUUCAAAAGUGAAAGACGGUCUUGCUGUCACUUAUAGAUGGAUCCGCGCUGCAUUAGCUAGUUGGUAAGGUAACGGCUUACCAAGGCAACGAUGCAUAGCCGACCUGAGAGGGUGAUCGGCCACACUGGAACUGAGACACGGUCCAGACUCCUACGGGAGGCAGCAGUAGGGAAUCUUCCGCAAUGGGCGAAAGCCUGACGGAGCAACGCCGCGUGAGUGAUGAAGGUCUUCGGAUCGUAAAACUCUGUUAUUAGGGAAGAACAUAUGUGUAAGUAACUGUGCACAUCUUGACGGUACCUAAUCAGAAAGCCACGGCUAACUACGUG